RNAcentral lists this ribosomal RNA (494 nucleotides) under uncultured bacterium. RNAcentral describes it as "partial 16S ribosomal RNA". It matches the Rfam family "Bacterial small subunit ribosomal RNA", at positions 28 to 507 of the family's 1533-position model. The record is from RNAcentral.
GACGAACGCUGGCGGCGUGCUUAACACAUGCAAGUCGAACGGUGAAGCGCCUUCCUUUUUGGUGGGUGUGGAUGAGUGGCGAACGGGUGAGUAACACGUGAGUAACCUGCCCCCUUCUUCUGGAUAACCGCAUGAAAGUGUGGCUAAUACGGGAUAUUCUGGGUCUGUCGCAUGAUGGGUCUGGGAAAGAUAUUGUUUCGGUGGGGGAUGGGCUCGCGGCCUAUCAGCUUGUUGGUGGGGUGAUGGACUACCAAGGCGGUGACGGGUAGCCGGCCUGAGAGGGUGGACGGUCACACUGGGACUGAGACACGGCUCAGACACCUACGGGAGGCAGCAGUGGGGAAUAUUGCACAAUGGGCGCAAGCCUGAUGCAGCGACGCCGCGUGAGGGAUGGAGGCCUUCGGGUUGUGAACCUCUUUCGCCAGUGAAGCAGGCCUGCCUCGUUUGUGGGUGGGUUGACGGUAGCUGGAUAAGAAGCGCCGGCUAACUACGUG